CUCAUCGAACUUGGCCGGUUUUGUUUUUUCAGUUUGGUCAGUCUUCUCAUCAAACUCUGGUCAGUCUACGCUGCCUCAACUCUCUGCACCGAUCCUCCACUGCGUCAAGCUGACACAACGUUCUGGUUUUUCAUCAAGCUCAAACAAACUCAUCAGCACACCGACGAUGCCGAUGCCGGUGACAGCACCUGUGUUUUCAGAGAGAUUGUCGCUUUCCAUGCCGCCUCCUGGAGAAACAUAACAGGAAAAAGGAGUCAUUUUGCUGUGAAAUGUUCUGAAACUUAGACCGAGGAAAUGUAUCGAAAACAAGUAAUUAGUAUGCAGGGUGCUAACUGCUACGGUCCUGAAAACUGGAAAAUUAGCAGUAACUCGCGAUGUUUAGAGUUGUCUGUCUAGAAAUUGAUCUGGCCUCAUCAUCGGAGGCGGUAGCUUCACCUUCUA
This is a long non-coding RNA of Phragmites australis (common reed), 441 nucleotides long. RefSeq lists it as uncharacterized. The transcript has 2 exons. The record is from RefSeq and is a predicted model, not a curated record. Lineage: Eukaryota; Viridiplantae; Streptophyta; Magnoliopsida; Poales; Poaceae.